UACAUGCAAGUCGAGCGGACUUGAAGAGAAGCUUGCUUCUCCGAUGGUUAGCGGCGGACGGGUGAGUAACACGUAGGCAACCUGCCCUCAAGCUUGGGACAACUACCGGAAACGGUAGCUAAUACCGAAUAGUUGUUUUCUUCUCCUGAAGAAAACUGGAAAGACGGAGCAAUCUGUCACUUGGGGAUGGGCCUGCGGCGCAUUAGCUAGUUGGUGGGGUAACGGCUCACCAAGGCGACGAUGCGUAGCCGACCUGAGAGGGUGAUCGGCCACACUGGGACUGAGACACGGCCCAGACUCCUACGGGAGGCAGCAGUAGGGAAUCUUCCGCAAUGGGCGAAAGCCUGACGGAGCAAUGCCGCGUGAGUGAUGAAGGUUUUCGGAUCGUAAAGCUCUGUUGCCAGGGAAGAACGCUUGGGAGAGUAACUGCUCUCAAGGUGACGGUACCUGAGAAGAAAGCCCCGGCUAACUACGUGCCAGCAGCCGCGGUAAUACGUAGGGGGCAAGCGUUGUCCGGAAUUAUUGGGCGUAAAGCGCGCGCAGGCGGUCAUUUAAGUCUGGUGUUUAAUCCCGGGGCUCAACCCCGGAUCGCACUGGAAACUGGGUGACUUGAGUGCAGAAGAGGAGAGUGGAAUUCCACGUGUAGCGGUGAAAUGCGUAGAUAUGUGGAGGAACACCAGUGGCGAAGGCGACUCUCUGGGCUGUAACUGACGCUGAGGCGCGAAAGCGUGGGAGCAAACAGGAUUAGAUACCCUGGUAGUCCACGCCGUAAACGAUGAGUGCUAGGUGUUAGGGGUUUCGAUACCCUUGGUGCCGAAGUUAACACAUUAAGCACUCCGCCUGGGGAGUACGGUCGCAAGACUGAAACUC
This 870-nucleotide ribosomal RNA is filed under the name Paenibacillus sp. AA1. RNAcentral's name for it is "bacterial SSU rRNA". It matches the Rfam family "Bacterial small subunit ribosomal RNA", at positions 52 to 902 of the family's 1533-position model. Lineage: Bacteria; Bacillati; Bacillota; Bacilli; Caryophanales; Paenibacillaceae. The record is from RNAcentral.